CGCAACGAGAACAAGUCACAGAUUCAAAACACAGAUUGAGCAGAGGCGGCGGGCGAGCCCUGCCCCGUGUUCGCAGCAUCCCCAGCGCCGGGGGACCCCCAGCAUCCCCGGCAUCCCGGGACCCCAGCCUCCUCAGUAUCCCCAGCAUCCCGUCCCGGGACCGCAGGAGGCGGCUCUCCCCGCGCUGUCGGGACCGGGGCUGGGACAGAGCCCGGGGCGACGGAAACCUCCCCGGGACUAGAAAUAACUUGUUGUGGAAAACUCUUUCGGGAUAAAUACGCCCAACGGCGCUGAAAAUACCUUAAGACCCAAGCCUCGAGGUUUGCUCAUUUCCCUUCGGAUUUAGCAGCUGCCCGAGGGCACCGUCAGAGCCAACAGGACACCGGUGGGGCACCAGAGGCACCGGGCCCGAUGGCACCUUCGUGUUCGGAAGGGAGGAGACACCGUAACGGGAGGAAAGACUUGAAGAACAGGAUCUGACAGCAUCUUGUCAGUACCUUCUUUGUGUUUCUCCCUGUGGCCUAGACACGUGCUGUAAAUGUGUGAGACAGUAACCAGCGAGUUUUGAUAGCAAUGUUUUAGAUUGCUGAGGAAACCAAAGCAGAUCAGAAAGCAAUGAUCACUGUGAGCAUGAACUGGAGCAGACGGUGACGGUGAUGCUGAUGGCUGUGGUGAAAAGAGGGAUUCCAGCUUUGGGAAAGAGCAGCCUCAGAACUUACCCCACUGUGAACAGGAGAAGGUUGAAUCGAGCAGAGACAGAACAUAAACUGCAAAAUGGCCUCAGGAACCACAGUUCUCAUAGCGGGAUGCUGGGCAUUUUAGUCACUUAAGCAACAGAAUACAGCUCUAAGAGUAUGCCACACAGCUUCUGGGUUUCACAGUUGUGAAACGAGGUAUUAAUUCCUGGAAAGGGCGGCUGUUAAGCUGUUGUAUCUCGGGGUUGUACCUCAGGCAAUCAGUGUCUGUGCACACGUAGCCAUACGUUUGUCAGCAUGUCUUCUCUGCUCUGAGGCUGAAACUUCAUGCUAUACAGAGGUUAUGCUGAAAGUCUAUUUACUGUGUGCUUUUCAUUCCACCACUCAGAAUCUCUGGUUUGACGGGCUUCUGUGUAAAUGUACUUCACUGACUUUCCUUGUAUGUUGAGCUAGUUUGUAAAACAAACAAACAAAACCAUCAGAGAACUAAAAAAAAAAUCUUGCUGCAAUUAUACUUAUCAAAAUAUUUGAUAGAAUGAAACUGAACUUCAUUAAAUCCAGAAAUCGCUUAGCUGAUACACAGUUAAUCUGCCUCCGCGAUGGCAGUUUCCACAGGCCAUGCCAGGAACUGGAUGGGCGUGGGGAACUUUGCAGCAAGACCAAAGGAAGUGGGGAGCUGCAGAAAUCAGUCACAUAGAAUCUGUCACCCACCUGCUUUGGGAUUUACCUUACUUUGCAUCCAAGCAGGUAAUGCUGCGGAGACCAGAAUUACAUCCAGGAUGUGCUUCUUCCACACAGCCCUCCCCAUGGUUCUUUGAACAUUUGUUCUCUGCUGAGUUGUGCUGUUCCUUUCCGAGGACACAGCCAAGAUAACAGUAAAAGAAAGGCUGAACGGGACCGGCAGAUGCAUUCAGCAAUGUGCUUCCAUGCUUGGGUACUCUGAAACAACUACUCUGCUGCUUGUGGGCAGCGAGAUGGGUAACACAUGUGCCGGCCAUCAGUACUGACUGCUGUACGGAUGCUUUUUCAUUAAGAGAACAGCUACAAACAUGGCUAGAAAAGAGGUCUUAAGGAUUGUUUAAUUACGUGAUGGCAGUAAUCACUGCCAUUAAGAAUAUUGUGGACUAGAAUGCAUCUGUGAGGGCGAGUGAGUGUUCAUAUGACAGCAGUAAAAUACCUGUUCUGUUUGAGACACUAGGGCUGUUCUGCAGAUCUAAGUUUUCGGGAGAGCAUGAAAGCAGCACGCUCAGUUCAGCUCUUACUGCUUUGGUAAGUCGCACCUCUUCAGCGACAGGACCAGGUGCUCAUCUCCGAGGCAGUUCUGCCACACACAGCUAUAGGAGCGCUGAACUUAAAUAUUUUCAUUGCACUGACCAUGCCUUCAUUAGAACUGUAGACGUGG
Molecule: long non-coding RNA, 2097 nt
Organism: Cuculus canorus (common cuckoo)
Lineage: Eukaryota; Metazoa; Chordata; Aves; Cuculiformes; Cuculidae
Exons: 3
Source: RefSeq, a predicted model, not a curated record